RNAcentral lists this ribosomal RNA (299 nucleotides) under Clostridioides difficile. RNAcentral's name for it is "partial 23S ribosomal RNA". It matches the Rfam family "Bacterial large subunit ribosomal RNA", at positions 532 to 830 of the family's 2925-position model. The record is from RNAcentral. Lineage: Bacteria; Bacillati; Bacillota; Clostridia; Peptostreptococcales; Peptostreptococcaceae.
AGGGGAGUGAAAUAGAACCUGAAACCCUGCACUUACAAGCUGUGGAAGCACAUUUCUUGUGUGACCGCGUACUUUUUGUAGAACGGGCCAACGAGUUACGUUAAGUAGCAAGGUUAAGCACUUAAGGUGCGGAGCCGUAGCGAAAGCGAGUUUUAACUGAGCGUUCAGUUACUUGACGUAGACCCGAAACCGGGCGACCUACCCAUGAGCAGGAUGAAGCGAAAGUAAAAUUUCGUGGAGGUCCGAACCCACGAGCGUUGAAAAGCUCGGGGAUGACUUGUGGGUAGCGGUGAAAUUCC